This 253-nucleotide ribosomal RNA is filed under the name uncultured bacterium. RNAcentral describes it as "partial 16S ribosomal RNA". It matches the Rfam family "Bacterial small subunit ribosomal RNA", at positions 524 to 776 of the family's 1533-position model. The record is from RNAcentral.
UACGUAGGGUGCUAGCGUUAAUCGGAAUUACUGGGCGUAAAGCGUGCGCAGGCGGUUUUGUAAGCCAGAUGUGAAAUCCCCGGGCUUAACCUGGGAAUGGCAUUUGGGACUGCAAGGCUCGAGUGCGGCAGAGGAGACUGGAAUUCCUGGUGUAGCAGUGAAAUGCGUAGAUAUCAGGAGGAACACCGAUGGCGAAGGCAGGUCUCUGGGCUGACACUGACGCUCAUGCACGAAAGCGUGGGGAGCAAACAGG